UGCCUGGCUUGAGUACGUGAGAGGAGAUUGGAAUUCCAGGUGUAGCGGUGAAAUGCGUAGAUAUCUGGAGGAACACCGGUGGCGAAAGCGGAUCUCUGGCACGUUACUGACGCUGAGGCUCGAAAGCAUGGGGAGCAAACGGGAUUAGAUACCCCGGUAGUCCAUGCCGUAAACGUUGUGCGCUAGGUGUAGGAGGUAUCGACCCCUUCUGUGCCGCAGCUAACGCAUUAAGCGCACCGCCUGGGGAGUACGGUCGCAAGACUGAAACUCAAAGGAAUUGACGGGGGCCCGCACAAGCGGUGGAGCAUGUGGUUUAAUUCGAGGCAACGCGAAGAGCCUUACCCAGACUUGACAUCCCAGGACCGCCUAUGAAAGUAGGUUUUCCCUUCGGGGACCUGGAGACAGGUGUUGCAUGGCUGUCGUCAGCUCGUGUCGUGAGAUGUUGGGUUAAGUCCCGCAACGAGCGCAACCCUUGUCCUCAGUUACCAGCGGGUUAUGCCGGGCACUCUGAGGAGACUGCCGAUGAUAAGUCGGAGGAAGGUGGGGACGACGUCAAGUCAUCACGGCCCUUACGUCUGGGGCUACACACGUGCUACAAUGGUCGGUACAGAGGGACGCAAGAUCGCGAGAUGGAGCCAAUCCCAAAAAGCCGGCCUCAGUUCGGAUUGCAGUCUGCAACUCGACUGCAUGAAGUCGGAAUCGCUAGUAAUCGUGGGUCAGCUACACCACGGUGAAUACGUUCCCGGGCCUUGUACACAUCGCCCGUCACAUGACCCGAGUUGGGUGCACCCAAAGCCACUGGCUCAACCAGCAAUGGGGAGAGGUGUCUAAGGUGUGUCUGGUGAGGGGGAUGAAGUCGUAACAAGGUAGCC
RNAcentral lists this ribosomal RNA (872 nucleotides) under uncultured bacterium. RNAcentral describes it as "bacterial SSU rRNA". It matches the Rfam family "Bacterial small subunit ribosomal RNA", at positions 634 to 1501 of the family's 1533-position model. The record is from RNAcentral.